CCUACGGGAGGCAUCAGUAGGGAAUAUUGCACAAUGGGGGAAACCCUGAUGCAGCGACGCCGCGUGAGUGAUGAAGUAUUUCGGUACGUAAAACUCUAUCAGCAGGGAAGAUAAUGACGGUACCUGACUAAGAAGCCCCGGCUAACUACGUGCCAGCAGCCGCGGUAAU
RNAcentral lists this ribosomal RNA (169 nucleotides) under uncultured bacterium. Its description in RNAcentral is "partial 16S ribosomal RNA". It matches the Rfam family "Bacterial small subunit ribosomal RNA", at positions 338 to 524 of the family's 1533-position model. The record is from RNAcentral.